Molecule: transfer RNA, 68 nt
Filed under: Marmota monax (woodchuck)
Lineage: Eukaryota; Metazoa; Chordata; Mammalia; Rodentia; Sciuridae
Description: tRNA.Ala
Source: RNAcentral
GGUUUGUGGCUUAGAGGUAGAGCACUUGCCUAGCAUUCAUGAGGUACUGGGUUCGACCCUCAGCACCA